AAUAUGGCUCAAUUUGGUAGAGCACUAGGUUUGGGACCUAGGGGUUGGGGGUUCAAAUCCCUCUAUUC
Molecule: transfer RNA, 68 nt
Filed under: bovine gut metagenome
Rfam family: tRNA
About the family: Transfer RNA (tRNA) molecules are approximately 80 nucleotides in length. Their secondary structure includes four short double-helical elements and three loops (D, anti-codon, and T loops). Further hydrogen bonds mediate the characteristic L-shaped molecular structure. tRNAs have two regions of fundamental functional importance: the anti-codon, which is responsible for specific mRNA codon recognition, and the 3' end, to which the tRNAs corresponding amino acid is attached (by aminoacyl-tRNA synthetases). tRNAs cope with the degeneracy of the genetic code in two manners: having more than one tRNA (with a specific anti-codon) for a particular amino acid; and 'wobble' base-pairing, i.e. permitting non-standard base-pairing at the 3rd anti-codon position.
Source: RNAcentral